AUGAGGAGCUUGCUCUUCAAAUCGAGUGACGAACGGGUGAGUAACGCGUGAGGAACCUGCCUCAAAGAGGGGGACAACAGUUGGAAACGACUGCUAAUACCGCAUAAGCCCACGGCUCGGCAUCGAGCAGAGGGAAAAGGAGCAAUCCGCUUUGAGAUGGCCUCGCGUCCGAUUAGCUAGUUGGUGAGGUAACGGCCCACCAAGGCGACUAUCGGUAGCCGGACUGAGAGGUUGAACGGCCACUUUGGGACUGAGACACGGCCCAUACUCCUACGGGAGGCAGCAGUGGGGAAUAUUGCACAAUGGGGGAAACCCUGAUGCAGCGACGCCGCGUGGAGGAAGAAGGUCUUCGGGAUUGUAAAACUCCUGUUGUUUGAGGAAGAUAAUGACGGUACUCAACAAGGAAGUGACGGCUAACUACGUGCCAGCAGCCGCGGUAAAACGUAGGUCACAAGCGUUGUCCGGAAUUACUGGGUGUAAAGGGAGCGCAGGCGGGAGAACAAGUUGGAAGUGAAAUCCAUGGGCUCAACCCAUGAACUGCUUUCAAAACUGUUUUUCUUGAGUAGUGCAGAGGUAGGCGGAAUUCCCGGUGUAGCGGUGGAAUGCGUAGAUAUCGGGAGGAACACCAGUGGCGAAGGCGGCCUACUGGGCACCAACUGACGCUGAGGCUCGAAAGUGUGGGUAGCAAACAGGAUUAGAUACCCUGGUAGUCCACACCGUAAACGAUGAUUACUAGGUGUUGGAGGAUUGACCCCUUCAGUGCCGCAGUUAACACAAUAAGUAAUCCACCUG
This 792-nucleotide ribosomal RNA is filed under the name uncultured bacterium. RNAcentral's name for it is "bacterial SSU rRNA". It matches the Rfam family "Bacterial small subunit ribosomal RNA", at positions 71 to 875 of the family's 1533-position model. The record is from RNAcentral.